GGUGAAGCGCAUGCACACAGAAUAGGCCAUGCGAGGACACAGUGAGCAGGCGGCCAUCUGCAAGCCAAGAAGAGAUGACCAGGGGAGAUCAACCCUGCUGCCCCCUUGACCUUGGACUUCUAGUCUCCAGAACUUCUUUAAAAUAUCUUAAUAUUUAGCUGUUUACAAUAGUCCUGCGUGGGGAGCAAAAGAGAAAUGAAGCACCUUGAUUACUUGAAUGAAAGAAGACAAUGGUACCAUUUUCUCAGGGUGCAACACCAGAUUUUCAUGAAAAUGGUUCCUAGAGAUGAUCGGAGACAGACCCGCUGACGUGUGAGCCAGAAAGGAAAAUCCAGGCUACGGGACUGAUGUUUUCUCAGGUUCCACGCCCCGCUGGAGACACUGGGGAAGUUGGGGUAACUAGAGAUGGGGUAAAUUUGGAUUCCCAAGAGACAGUGACAGUCAAAAUUGACCAAAGCCUUCUUUUAUAAUUGCAUUUCCAUGUGUGUGUGGGUUUUUUUUUUUUUUAGCAUUUCCUUAUAUUUAACUA
Long non-coding RNA from Zalophus californianus (California sea lion), 529 nucleotides. RefSeq lists it as uncharacterized. The transcript has 3 exons. The record is from RefSeq and is a predicted model, not a curated record. NCBI's taxonomy places the organism in Eukaryota, Metazoa, Chordata, Mammalia, Carnivora, Otariidae.